CGCGGAAUGGAGCAGUCUGGUAGCUCGUCGGGCUCAUAACCCGAAGGUCGUCGGUUCAAAUCCGGCUUCCGCAA
This 74-nucleotide transfer RNA is filed under the name Pseudomonas guineae. It matches the Rfam family "tRNA". Rfam says of the family: Transfer RNA (tRNA) molecules are approximately 80 nucleotides in length. Their secondary structure includes four short double-helical elements and three loops (D, anti-codon, and T loops). Further hydrogen bonds mediate the characteristic L-shaped molecular structure. tRNAs have two regions of fundamental functional importance: the anti-codon, which is responsible for specific mRNA codon recognition, and the 3' end, to which the tRNAs corresponding amino acid is attached (by aminoacyl-tRNA synthetases). tRNAs cope with the degeneracy of the genetic code in two manners: having more than one tRNA (with a specific anti-codon) for a particular amino acid; and 'wobble' base-pairing, i.e. permitting non-standard base-pairing at the 3rd anti-codon position. The record is from Rfam by way of RNAcentral. Lineage: Bacteria; Pseudomonadati; Pseudomonadota; Gammaproteobacteria; Pseudomonadales; Pseudomonadaceae.